AGUGUGAGACCUCGGGCUACAACAUAGGACCCGGGCGCUGCUCUGACCCCUCGUGUCUUGUGUUGCAGCCGGAGGGACGCA
This is a non-coding RNA of Pongo abelii (Sumatran orangutan), 81 nucleotides long. NCBI's taxonomy places the organism in Eukaryota, Metazoa, Chordata, Mammalia, Primates, Hominidae. The record is from Rfam.